This 349-nucleotide ribosomal RNA is filed under the name uncultured bacterium. Its description in RNAcentral is "bacterial SSU rRNA". It matches the Rfam family "Bacterial small subunit ribosomal RNA", at positions 917 to 1269 of the family's 1533-position model. The record is from RNAcentral.
GGGCCCGCACAAGCGGUGGAGCAUGUGGUUUAAUUCGAUGAUACGCGAGGAACCUUACCAGGGCUUAAAUGUAGUGGGACAGGUCUAGAGAUAGACCCUUCUUCGGACUCAUUACAAGGUGCUGCAUGGUUGUCGUCAGCUCGUGCCGUGAGGUGUCAGGUUAAGUCCUAUAACGAGCGCAACCCCUAUCGUUAGUUGCCAGCGAGUAAUGUCGGGAACUCUAACGAAACUGCCGGUGCAAACCGUGAGGAAGGUGGGGAUGACGUCAAAUCAUCACGGCCCUUACGUCCUGGCUACACACGUGCUACAAUGGUCGGUACAGAGAGCAGCCACUACGCGAGUAGGAGCA